UUAAGCGACUAAGCGUACACGGUGGAUGCCCUGGCAGUCAGAGGCGAUGAAGGACGUGCUAAUCUGCGAUAAGCGUCGGUAAGGUGAUAUGAACCGUUAUAACCGGCGAUUUCCGAAUGGGGAAACCCAGUGUGAUUCGUCACACUAUCAUUAACUGAAUCCAUAGGUUAAUGAGGCGAACCGGGGGAACUGAAACAUCUAAGUACCCCGAGGAAAAGAAAUCAACCGAGAUUCCCCCAGUAGCGGCGAGCGAACGGGGAGCAGCCCAGAGCCUGAAUCAGUGUGUGUGUUAGUGGAAGCGUCUGGAAAGGCGUGCGAUACAGGGUGACAGCCCCGUACACAAAAAUGCACAUGCUGUGAGCUCGAUGAGUAGGGCGGGACACGUGGUAUCCUGUCUGAAUAUGGGGGGACCAUCCUCCAAGGCUAAAUACUCCUGACUGACCGAUAGUGAACCAGUACCGUGAGGGAAAGGCGAAAAGAACCCCGGCGAGGGGAGUGAAAAAGAACCUGAAACCGUGUACGUACAAGCAGUGGGAGCACAGAGCAAUCUGUGUGACUGCGUACCUUUUGUAUAAUGGGUCAGCGACUUAUAUUCUGUAGCAAGGUUAACCGAAUAGGGGAGCCGAAGGGAAACCGAGUCUUAACUGGGCGUUAAGUUGCAGGGUAUAGACCCGAAACCCGGUGAUCUAGCCAUGGGCAGGUUGAAGGUUGGGUAACACUAACUGGAGGACCGAACCGACUAAUGUUGAAAAAUUAGCGGAUGACUUGUGGCUGGGGGUGAAAGGCCAAUCAAACCGGGAGAUAGCUGGUUCUCCCCGAAAGCUAUUUAGGUAGCGCCUCGUGAAUUCAUCUCCGGGGGUAGAGCACUGUUUCGGCAAGGGGGUCAUCCCGACUUACCAACCCGAUGCAAACUGCGAAUACCGGAGAAUGUUAUCACGGGAGACACACGGCGGGUGCUAACGUCCGUCGUGAAGAGGGAAACAACCCAGACCGCCAGCUAAGGUCCCAAAGUCAUGGUUAAGUGGGAAACGAUGUGGGAAGGCCCAGACAGCCAGGAUGUUGGCUUAGAAGCAGCCAUCAUUUAAAGAAAGCGUAAUAGCUCACUGGUCGAGUCGGCCUGCGCGGAAGAUGUAACGGGGCUAAACCAUGCACCGAAGCUGCGGCAGCGACACUAUGUGUUGUUGGGUAGGGGAGCGUUCUGUAAGCCUGCGAAGGUGUGCUGUGAGGCAUGCUGGAGGUAUCAGAAGUGCGAAUGCUGACAUAAGUAACGAUAAAGCGGGUGAAAAGCCCGCUCGCCGGAAGACCAAGGGUUCCUGUCCAACGUUAAUCGGGGCAGGGUGAGUCGACCCCUAAGGCGAGGCCGAAAGGCGUAGUCGAUGGGAAACAGGUUAAUAUUCCUGUACUUGGUGUUACUGCGAAGGGGGGACGGAGAAGGCUAUGUUGGCCGGGCGACGGUUGUCCCGGUUUAAGCGUGUAGGCUGGUUUUCCAGGCAAAUCCGGAAAAUCAAGGCUGAGGCGUGAUGACGAGGCACUACGGUGCUGAAGCAACAAAUGCCCUGCUUCCAGGAAAAGCCUCUAAGCAUCAGGUAACAUCAAAUCGUACCCCAAACCGACACAGGUGGUCAGGUAGAGAAUACCAAGGCGCUUGAGAGAACUCGGGUGAAGGAACUAGGCAAAAUGGUGCCGUAACUUCGGGAGAAGGCACGCUGAUAUGUAGGUGAAGCGACUUGCUCGUGGAGCUGAAAUCAGUCGAAGAUACCAGCUGGCUGCAACUGUUUAUUAAAAACACAGCACUGUGCAAACACGAAAGUGGACGUAUACGGUGUGACGCCUGCCCGGUGCCGGAAGGUUAAUUGAUGGGGUCAGCGCAAGCGAAGCUCUUGAUCGAAGCCCCGGUAAACGGCGGCCGUAACUAUAACGGUCCUAAGGUAGCGAAAUUCCUUGUCGGGUAAGUUCCGACCUGCACGAAUGGCGUAAUGAUGGCCAGGCUGUCUCCACCCGAGACUCAGUGAAAUUGAACUCGCUGUGAAGAUGCAGUGUACCCGCGGCAAGACGGAAAGACCCCGUGAACCUUUACUAUAGCUUGACACUGAACAUUGAGCCUUGAUGUGUAGGAUAGGUGGGAGGCUUUGAAGUGUGGACGCCAGUCUGCAUGGAGCCGACCUUGAAAUACCACCCUUUAAUGUUUGAUGUUCUAACGUUGACCCGUGAUCCGGGUUGCGGACAGUGUCUGGUGGGUAGUUUGACUGGGGCGGUCUCCUCCUAAAGAGUAACGGAGGAGCACGAAGGUUGGCUAAUCCUGGUCGGACAUCAGGAGGUUAGUGCAAUGGCAUAAGCCAGCUUGACUGCGAGCGUGACGGCGCGAGCAGGUGCGAAAGCAGGUCAUAGUGAUCCGGUGGUUCUGAAUGGAAGGGCCAUCGCUCAACGGAUAAAAGGUACUCCGGGGAUAACAGGCUGAUACCGCCCAAGAGUUCAUAUCGACGGCGGUGUUUGGCACCUCGAUGUCGGCUCAUCACAUCCUGGGGCUGAAGUAGGUCCCAAGGGUAUGGCUGUUCGCCAUUUAAAGUGGUACGCGAGCUGGGUUUAGAACGUCGUGAGACAGUUCGGUCCCUAUCUGCCGUGGGCGCUGGAGAACUGAGGGGGGCUGCUCCUAGUACGAGAGGACCGGAGUGGACGCAUCACUGGUGUUCGGGUUGUCAUGCCAAUGGCACUGCCCGGUAGCUAAAUGCGGAAGAGAUAAGUGCUGAAAGCAUCUAAGCACGAAACUUGCCCCGAGAUGAGUUCUCCCUGACUCCUUGAGAGUCCUGAAGGAACGUUGAAGACGACGACGUUGAUAGGCCGGGUGUGUAAGCGCAGCGAUGCGUUGAGCUAACCGGUACUAAUGAACCGUGAGGCUUAACCU
This 2902-nucleotide ribosomal RNA is filed under the name Escherichia coli. RNAcentral describes it as "23S ribosomal RNA". It matches the Rfam family "Bacterial large subunit ribosomal RNA". Lineage: Bacteria; Pseudomonadati; Pseudomonadota; Gammaproteobacteria; Enterobacterales; Enterobacteriaceae. The record is from RNAcentral.